AGUGAACGCUGGCGAUAGGCCUAACACAUGCAAGUCGAACGGCAGCACAGUAAGAGCUUGCUCUUACGGGUGGCGAGUGGCGGACGGGUGAGGAAUACAUCGGAAUCUACUUUUUCGUGGGGGAUAACGUAGGGAAACUUACGCUAAUACCGCAUACGACCUACGGGUGAAAGCAGGGGAUCUUCGGACCUUGCGCGAUUGAAUUAGCCGAUGUCGGAUUAGCUAGUUGGCGGGGUAAGGGCCCACCAAGGCGACGAUCCGUAGCUGGUCUGAGAGGAUGAUCAGCCACACUGGAACUGAGACACGGUCCAGACUCCUACGGGAGGCAGCAGUGGGGAAUAUUGGACAAAGGGCGCAAGCCUGAUCCAGCCAUACCGCGUGGGUGAAGAAGGCCUUCGGGUUGUAAAGCCCUUUUGUUGGGAAAGAAAAGCAGCAGGUUAAUACCCCGCUGUUCUGACGGUACCCAAAGAAUAAGCACCGGCUAACUUCGUG
Molecule: ribosomal RNA, 492 nt
Filed under: uncultured bacterium
Lineage: Bacteria
Description: partial 16S ribosomal RNA
Rfam family: Bacterial small subunit ribosomal RNA
Source: RNAcentral